Molecule: long non-coding RNA, 528 nt
Organism: Ixodes scapularis (black-legged tick)
Lineage: Eukaryota; Metazoa; Arthropoda; Arachnida; Ixodida; Ixodidae
Exons: 4
Source: RefSeq, a predicted model, not a curated record
AUAACGAAAAAGCGCUUGUAACUCCCGAUGCGGAAGGAAAAUGACUACGAAUUGAAGCGGUGCUCAAAGCAGGAAGGGGACUGCUUUUUCAGCCAGUGAAUGCGGUCUGGGCUGGACAUAAUUUCCAGGCAAGUAAACGAGCAUUGUCAUGUUGUGCCCCCUGUCCACAGUGAUGUGCCCCCCGUCUACAGUGGCAGUUGCACUGAUCUUCUCAACAUUGCCCCCUGGCUCGCAUGACUGGCAGAGCAGCAAGGAUGGCUCAUUCUCCCUAGCUAGCAGUUGCACUGAUCUUCUCAACAUUAUCCCCUGGCUGGUAUGACUGGCAGAGCAGCAAGGAUGGCUCGUUUUCCCUAGGUUACGUGAUGCUGCGCACGGAGUGAUGAUUUCAACUACCCAGCGAGGCAUGGGGAUCGUCUUUUUCUUUCAGCAGUGUUGCGAGUCUUUAUCUGGGUGGUGUUGUACCUGAAUGAGUUAAUAAAUGUUACGAGUCAGAGAGACAAUAUAUGAUGUUUUCAAGAAUUUGGCAAA